GUGGGGAAUAUUGGGCAAUGGAGGCAACUCUGACCCAGCAACGCCGCGUGAAUGAAGAAGGCCUUCGGGUUGUAAAGUUCUUUAAUGGGGGACGAAGAAAGUGACGGUACCCCAAGAAUAAGCCACGGCUAACUACGUGCCAGCAGCCGCGGUAAUACGUAGGUGGCAAGCGUUGUCCGGAAUGACUGGGCGUAAAGGGAGCGUAGGCGGCGCGGUAAGUUAGGAGUGAAAUCCCGGGGCUCAACCCCGGAACUGCUUUUAAAACUGCCGUGCUUGAGUGAUGGAGAGGAAAGCGGAAUUCCUAGUGUAGCGGUGGAAUGCGUAGAUAUUAGGAGGAACACCAGAGGCGAAGGCGGCUUUCUGGACAUUAACUGACGCUGAGGCUCGAAAGCGUGGGGAGCAAACAGGA
Molecule: ribosomal RNA, 409 nt
Filed under: uncultured bacterium
Lineage: Bacteria
Description: bacterial SSU rRNA
Rfam family: Bacterial small subunit ribosomal RNA
Source: RNAcentral